Long non-coding RNA from Perca flavescens (yellow perch), 1406 nucleotides. RefSeq lists it as uncharacterized. NCBI's taxonomy places the organism in Eukaryota, Metazoa, Chordata, Actinopteri, Perciformes, Percidae. The record is from RefSeq and is a predicted model, not a curated record. The transcript is spliced from 3 exons.
CCAAGUUUAAUCUGAACGCGAAAUUGAAAGAUUCUCGUAUAAAUUUAGCAUAAUCUGCUGUUGACACAUUACAAAUACAUCGGUAUCGGAGCGCAGUGUGAAAACUGACUGUAACAUUAGCUAUAAUCCGACAGUGGAACACGUGCAUUUGUUUACAAUAUAGCUACAACCCACAGAACGCGAGACUAAAUGCUGCUAGCUACGUCAGCUAGCUAACUUUAGAUGCAUACAACAGUUAUUGUUGUCGACGCAGCUGGUAAUGCUCACCUUCUUUCCUACGUGCCAUAUCGACAUAUAAAUCUGCGUAGAGGCGAAGAGGACGGAGACUUUAGUUUAACAUGUGGCUAUAGCUAAUAUGCUAGCAAGCUAGCGGAGUUAGCUAACCAGCCUGCUAGCUAGCUUUUAAAAUUAGCUCACUUCAUAACAGAGGUUUAACACAUCAGUGAAAUGAUUGAGCUAUGUAACAUUCCGUGUUAAAAAAUAGCUUAAGGAAUAGCUAGAGCUAACUAACUAUACUUAAACAAUACUAAAAAGCAAGUACGCUCAUCAAAGUGCAAUAAUGCUCGGACUCCUCUAGCUGCAUUCUCCCCACAAGACUGCCUGGUACUGACUGCAUAGUAACCUCGCUUGGUCUAGUCGCGCCGAUUCCCAUUCAAACUAAUGCCAAUUUAUUGUAACCUUAGUUGUCAGAAAGGAUAAGUACCCUGUACAUAAUCCAUCAAUAUAUUGUUUUAAUCUGUAGAAUCCAUUCUUCAAAUCGGCAUAUAAAGCAGCCUUGUUCGGUUUAUAUACAGAAUAUCAUAGCAUUCUUUGGAACUGCUCGUCCACUUAGUAUUUGAAGAAAAACACAUAGUAAGUCUAACAUUAGCGAUACGUUUUACUGAGGCAAAUUGCUUCUGUGAUAUUAAAUGAAAGGCGAAUAAAAUGUGACUCAGUGUACUUCGAAAAUGAUCUUGUCUCCCUGCCAAAAAAAUCAAAUCCAAUUUGUUUAGGUUCAUAUAGACAGUUUAAAUAUUGCCAACUUUCUUUCCUGAAUUGUGAUGAGUGCGACGCAUCAGACUAGAGCUCCCCAUGUGUUUGAAUCCUGUAAUAACAGCGGUUUGGGGCGUGCGCACACUGAGCCAGCUGUAGGACGGGGUGGAAGCGAGAUGAGAAUACCAAGUAGGCGCCUCAUGGCUCAGCAUCAGCGCCGGGCUGAGUUAGGAUUUGCGCACCCUCCAAACUUGGCUUGGGACCUCAGCAUGUGAACGGGCUUUGCAGGAGGAGGAUCCACCUAGGAUGUCAGCUCUGAAGAAGGUGUUGCCAGGCAUACUGAAGAAGCACUGCUGUAUCGUACCAGACAGGAACACAGGUUUGAAGAGGUUGCUGAUGAAAUUGAAGAGCAGGGGGAUAUACUCAGGUACCUG